GACGAACGCUGGCGGCGUGCCUAAUACAUGCAAGUCGAACGAAGCUUUUUUAACUGGUGCUUGCACCGACUUAAACAACUGAGUGGCGAACGGGUGAGUAACACGUGGGUAACCUGCCCCAAAGCGGGGGAUAACAUUUGGAAACAGAUGCUAAUACCGCAUAACCACAGAAACCACAUGGUUUCUGUGUCAAAGAUGGUUUCGGCUGUCACUUUGGGAUGGACCCGCGGCGUAUUAGCUAGUUGGUAAGGUAAUGGCUUACCAAGGCAAUAAUACGUAGCCGAACUGAGAGGUUGAUCGGCCACAUUGGGACUGAGACACGGCCCAAACUCCUACGGGAGGCAGCAGUAGGGAAUCUUCCACAAUGGACGAAAGUCUGAUGGAGCAACGCCGCGUGAGUGAAGAAGGUUUUCGGAUCGUAAAACUCUGUUGUCAGAGAAGAACGUGUGCGAGAGUAACUGUUCGUGCAGUGACGGUAUCUGGCCAGAGAGCCACGGCUAACUACGUGCCAGCAGCCGCCGUAA
This 524-nucleotide ribosomal RNA is filed under the name uncultured bacterium. RNAcentral's name for it is "partial 16S ribosomal RNA". It matches the Rfam family "Bacterial small subunit ribosomal RNA", at positions 28 to 523 of the family's 1533-position model. The record is from RNAcentral.